This 277-nucleotide ribosomal RNA is filed under the name uncultured bacterium. RNAcentral's name for it is "partial 16S ribosomal RNA". It matches the Rfam family "Bacterial small subunit ribosomal RNA", at positions 28 to 322 of the family's 1533-position model. The record is from RNAcentral.
GAUGAACGCUGGCGGCAUGCUUGACACAUGCAAGUCGAACGAGGCCCAUCCUUGGGUGGGUUUAGUGGCGGACGGGUGAGUAACGCGUAAGAAUCUGCCCUUAGGAGAGGGAUACCGGCUGGAAACGGUCGUUAAUACCUCGUGUGCUGAGGAGCAAAAGGGGUAACACCCGCCUAUGGAUGAGCUUGCGUCUGAUUAGCUAGUUGGUAGGGCAAUGGCCUACCAAGGCAAUGAUCAGUAGCUGGUCUGAGAGGACAAUCAGCCACACUGGGACUGA